This 490-nucleotide ribosomal RNA is filed under the name uncultured bacterium. Its description in RNAcentral is "bacterial SSU rRNA". It matches the Rfam family "Bacterial small subunit ribosomal RNA", at positions 8 to 518 of the family's 1533-position model. The record is from RNAcentral.
AGGGUUCGAUUCUGGCUCAGGACGAACGCUGGCGGCGUGCUUCAUACAUGCAAGUCGAACGAGAAUCUGGCUUCGGUCAGAGGAAAGUGGCGGACGGGUGAGUAAUGUGUAGAGAAUCUGCCCUUUAGUGGGGGACAACAGUUGGAAACGACUGCUAAUACCCCAUAUGCGCGUAGCUGAGAUGCUAUUCGUGAAAACUCCGGUGCUAAAGGAUGAGUCUGCAUCUGAUUAGCUAGUUGGCGGUGUAAUGGACCACCAAGGCGACGAUCAGUAGCUGGUUUGAGAGGAUGAUCAGCCACAAUGGGACUGAGACACGGCCCAUACUCCUACGGGAGGCAGCAGUAGGGAAUUUUGCGCAAUGGGGGAAACCCUGACGCAGACAACGCCGCGUGAUUGAAUAAGCCCUUCGGGGUGUAAAGAUCUGUCAGUAGGGACGAAACUUGACGGUACCUACAGAGGAAGCAUCGGCUAGCUCCGUGCCAGCAGCUGC